AGUGGAGUGGAGCAGUUGGUAGCUCGCCAGGUUCAUAUCCUGGAGGCCGCGGGAUCGAGACCCGCCUCCGCCA
Molecule: transfer RNA, 73 nt
Filed under: Geodermatophilus pulveris
Lineage: Bacteria; Bacillati; Actinomycetota; Actinomycetes; Geodermatophilales; Geodermatophilaceae
Description: tRNA_Met_CAT
Rfam family: tRNA
About the family: Transfer RNA (tRNA) molecules are approximately 80 nucleotides in length.
Source: RNAcentral